Molecule: ribosomal RNA, 799 nt
Filed under: uncultured bacterium
Lineage: Bacteria
Description: bacterial SSU rRNA
Rfam family: Bacterial small subunit ribosomal RNA
Source: RNAcentral
AGAGUUUGAUCAUGGCUCAGAUUGAACGCUGGCGGCAGGCCUAGCACAUGCAAGUCGAGCGGUAGCACAAGAGAGCUUGCUCUCUGGGUGACGAGCGGCGGACGGGUGAGUAAUGUCUGGGGAACUGCCUGAUGGAGGGGGAUAACUACUGGAAACGGUAGCUAAUACCGCAUAACGUCUUCGGACCAAAGUGGGGGACCUUCGGGCCUCACGCCAUCAGAUGUGCCCAGAUGGGAUUAGCUAGUAGGUGGGGUAAUGGCUCACCUAGGCGACGAUCCCUAGCUGGUCUGAGAGGAUGACCAGCCACACUGGAACUGAGACACGGUCCAGACUCCUACGGGAGGCAGCAGUGGGGAAUAUUGCACAAUGGGCGCAAGCCUGAUGCAGCCACGCCGCGUGUGUGAAGAAGGCCUUCGGGUUGUAAAGCACUUUCAGCGAGGAGGAAGGGUAGUGUGUUAAUAGCACAUUGCAUUGACGUUACUCGCAGAAGAAGCACCGGCUAACUCCGUGCCAGCAGCCGCGGUAAUACGGAGGGUGCAAGCGCUAAUCGGAAUUACUGGGCGUAAAGCGCACGCAGGCGGUUUGUUAAGUCAGAUGUGAAAUCCCCGCGCUUAACGUGGGAACUGCAUUUGAAACUGGCAAGCUAGAGUCUUGUAGAGGGGGGUAGAAUUCCAGGUGUAGCGGUGAAAUGCGUAGAGAUCUGGAGGAAUACCGGUGGCGAAGGCGGCCCCCUGGACAAAGACUGACGCUCAGGUGCGAAAGCGUGGGGAGCAAACAGGAUUAGAUACCCUGGUAGUCC